RNAcentral lists this ribosomal RNA (253 nucleotides) under uncultured bacterium. Its description in RNAcentral is "partial 16S ribosomal RNA". It matches the Rfam family "Bacterial small subunit ribosomal RNA", at positions 524 to 776 of the family's 1533-position model. The record is from RNAcentral.
UACGGAGGGUGCAAGCGUUAUCCGGAUUCACUGGGCUUAAAGGGUGCGUAGGCGGAUAUUUAAGUCAGUGGUGAAAUCUCCAGGCUCAACCUGGAAACUGCCAUUGAUACUAUUUAUCUUGAAUUCUGUUGAGGUGGGCGGAAUACAUCAUGUAGCGGUGAAAUGCUUAGAUAUGAUGUAGAACACCGAUUGCGAAGGCAGCUCACUAAACAGACAUUGACGCUGAGGCACGAAAGCGUGGGGAUCAAACAGG